CACAACUGCUCUUUUCGAUUUGCCCAUUUCACAUGCGCCGCUCCAUGAAAACGAAAACAAUCACGCACAUCUGUGACAUCCACACGAACACAUGCGAAAGAGCAGUUACUCUGCGCAAAUAUCGUAGCAUAAACUGGUCAUAUAUCUCCAAUCUCCAAUCCCUUAUCACAGCGACCUAACCCACUGAACUCUUGGACUUCAGAUAAGGUGGGCAGUGUGCAGUUAAUAUGGGUUCUUAACAUAUAUGUCUUAAAUGUUAUGUUUAUAAUAGGUUUUAAGAUUUAAGAGCUUUGUUUUCUCUUCAAGCAUUUAAAACACAGAUCGCUUGCAGCGGAAAUAAAAUGAUUUGAUAGCAACUUGAGUCAAGUGCAGCGUAUUAUAUCAAAUGAAGGUACUAAUUGCAUAAUGGCAGCCAUUGAGCUAAUUGAAUUAGACUCGUUAGCGCGUGAAUUUAGCUAUUAAUUAUUAAAUUGAUUAUUGCCAGAUAAUUCAAUCAAAGGCAUGACUCUGCAACUAAAAGAAACUUGCUAGCAGCAAUUAAAAAGACAAAAUACAUAGUAGCGCAUACAGAGACAUUAAAACCUGAAUUAAGCCAAGCGGGAUAUCUUUAGAACCGGUGCGGAAAAAUGGGUUAAUGGCCAAAACGCUGCGAUUGCCACAUUUUCGGUGGCCAGUAGUCGUCAUCAUAAGCGUGGCAAUCGCAGUGAGUGAGUGGGCUUAUCAACAAUUUAAGCGUAACAAGUUCAGUGCACCGCCAUGUCGCUCGUUUGCUAAUUGGCAGACACACGGCGGCAAUGGCUCCAUUUGGGUAGCGUGCCCCUUGGAGGCCGGUCCAAAACGGUGUUUUUGCUUUGUAUAUUAUUAUAUAGUUUGUUUUUUUUUGUUUUUUGUUUAUUUGGCCAGCAAACCAGUUGUUUGUGGCGCAUAUAUAGAUGUAACUGUCGCACAAGUUGUGCCGGCCGAAUGCCAUUGACCAUCGUCCGUUCAGCGACGUAAACGUGAUCGCAAACGUGGCCGCCGUUGAGCAAUUUCAAUUUCUUACUAAUUUUCCUUGGCUCUUAAUUGGCCAGGAAAAUGUUUGGGAUUGUUGGCCAGCGCUUUUAUGGGCACGUCAUCGUUUCAUGGUCAAGGUUUGCACGCAAGAAUGCCUCCGGCCAACUGCACGGUGAAAAAAUGGAAAGGGAUCUGGUCCAACUAGAGGUGCAAAUGUAACCACUGACCAUCACGAAGGAGGAGCAACUUCCCAUCGACGAUGAGCCGCUGCAGAAAGAGAGAUGAGAAAAGCGACAGUAUUUAUGACGCGCCUCGCACAUUUCCGCACAAUUAAUUGGCCCGAGUUUUCCGAUCGUCGGCGUGUUGCAGCUGCAGUUAACCCAAAUAGCUUCUUGACCAAUUGGGCUAGCCAGUCCAUAGAUCACCAACGCUUUUGCGGCCCAGAGGCAAUGGCACGAGUAACGUUUUAUCGGCGGCCCCUCGAUCUGAAUCCAAAUCGGAGUUGGAGCUGCAGUCUUUGGUUUGAAUCACAGCCUCGAUUCGCCAGUUUUCU
Long non-coding RNA from Drosophila yakuba, 1546 nucleotides. RefSeq lists it as uncharacterized. The transcript has 4 exons. NCBI's taxonomy places the organism in Eukaryota, Metazoa, Arthropoda, Insecta, Diptera, Drosophilidae. The record is from RefSeq and is a predicted model, not a curated record.